AAAAGUGUCCAGGAGCGGGAAUCGAACCCACAACCUUCUGCUUACCGGGCAGGUGCCAUGUCCAUACGUCAUCCAUUCAUAUAUAGACCAUCACUCU
Non-coding RNA from Cordylochernes scorpioides, 97 nucleotides. NCBI's taxonomy places the organism in Eukaryota, Metazoa, Arthropoda, Arachnida, Pseudoscorpiones, Chernetidae. The record is from the annotation of a GenBank genome assembly.